GCCCGGGUGGCUCAGUCGGUUGAGCGUCCGACUUCGGCUCAGGUCAUGAUCUCCCAGUUGGUGGGUUCGAGCCCCGCAUCGGGCU
Transfer RNA from Felis catus (domestic cat), 85 nucleotides. It matches the Rfam family "tRNA". From Rfam's summary of the family: Transfer RNA (tRNA) molecules are approximately 80 nucleotides in length. Lineage: Eukaryota; Metazoa; Chordata; Mammalia; Carnivora; Felidae. The record is from Rfam.